RNAcentral lists this unclassified non-coding RNA (318 nucleotides) under Hevea brasiliensis (rubber tree). Lineage: Eukaryota; Viridiplantae; Streptophyta; Magnoliopsida; Malpighiales; Euphorbiaceae. The record is from RNAcentral.
ACCUUCAAGGAUGAGAUCUAUAGCCUCCAACAAGCUCGCGUUCGGCUCCAAGUGCCUAACAAGGCCAGGAACCUUGGGAAGGAGAACAGAGACGGGCUCCCCCAGAGGUCUACCUGGAUUUUUCAGAUUCUCUUCUUUACACAAGAAGCAAAUGACAUCCACCAUGCAAACCUUACCAAUGCAACGGCAUUCAUUUACAUCAAGCUUAGAUCUUGAAGCGUUACGGUAAUGAUCACAGCUCCAUACACUCAAAUACGGGUCACUGGAUCUCCUGAGAGCCGACAGCGCCUCACCGACGGUUGCAGAGACGGAGAGAGA